This 22-nucleotide small nuclear RNA is filed under the name Arabidopsis thaliana (thale cress). RNAcentral's name for it is "snRNA_01595". The record is from RNAcentral. Lineage: Eukaryota; Viridiplantae; Streptophyta; Magnoliopsida; Brassicales; Brassicaceae.
UCGAAUUGUGGGUUCAACUUUA